This 57-nucleotide transfer RNA is filed under the name Camelus bactrianus (Bactrian camel). It matches the Rfam family "tRNA", at positions 8 to 63 of the family's 71-position model. From Rfam's summary of the family: Transfer RNA (tRNA) molecules are approximately 80 nucleotides in length. The record is from Rfam by way of RNAcentral. RNAcentral also lists the same sequence under 2 other names. Lineage: Eukaryota; Metazoa; Chordata; Mammalia; Artiodactyla; Camelidae.
UAGCUCAGCGGUACAGCGUGUGCUUAGCAUGCACGAGGUCCUGGGUUCAAUCCCCAG